This 327-nucleotide ribosomal RNA is filed under the name Olavius sp. 'pianosa 1'. RNAcentral describes it as "eukaryotic LSU rRNA". It matches the Rfam family "Eukaryotic large subunit ribosomal RNA", at positions 42 to 365 of the family's 3401-position model. Lineage: Eukaryota; Metazoa; Annelida; Clitellata; Tubificida; Naididae. The record is from RNAcentral.
AUUAAUAAGCGGAGGAAAAGAAACCAACCGGGAUUCCCACAGUAACGGCGAGUGAAGUGGGACCAGCCCAGCACCGAAUCGCACGCCGUUAGGCGUCGCGAACUGUGGUGUUUAGGACGAGCGCUUGUACGUCGGAAAGUCGUCGGAGUCCUCCUGAUCGGGGCUUGCCAGAGCGGGUGUUAGCCCUCUACGGCGACCGACCGGCGUGCCCGCCACGUCCUCGGAGUCGGGUUGUUUGAGAAUGCAGCCCAAAGUUGGUGGUAAACUCCAUCUAAGGCUAAAUACUGUCGCGAGUCCGAUAGCGAACAAGUACCGUGAGGGAAAGUU